Molecule: long non-coding RNA, 981 nt
Organism: Tribolium castaneum (red flour beetle)
Lineage: Eukaryota; Metazoa; Arthropoda; Insecta; Coleoptera; Tenebrionidae
Exons: 3
Source: RefSeq, a predicted model, not a curated record
AGUACUGUUGCAAAAUUGCAAUAACAAGCACGAUCUAAACACAAUUCCAAAAUUAACAUUUCGUGCUAAACUACAACUUGUCCUUCGGUUUCUUUUCGCCCUUUGGCCAUUGGAAAUAGGAGAUAUCCUUGCGCUGCGCGAUACGUUUCAAUGUGACUUUAUUCAUUAAUUGACUCGUUAUUAAAUCAAACAGUGGCGUUAUUUUCAAAAAACACAAGGACUGUUUAAAAUAAUUAAGUAACCUUAGACCGAAAUUGGGGCAGCCCUGCCAUCUGUUGACACGUAAACAAACCACACGCCACAAUCACUUGAUUUGAUUGAGAGGAAUAGAAUAUGGAGACGCCACUUGGACAAUAUUUACUUUUCUAUGUUCUAUUGACGAUUUUUGCCAAUUUUUGUAGCAAUUUCGGCGAAAAAAGGCGAUAAUUACAGUUUUGGGUGUCCGAUCAAGUGGGCAUUGUCAGGCCCAAAUGUCAACAAAAAACAAAAACAUUGAUUUGGUUAGAAAAAACGUCACUUAAUUAUUGACUGGGGUGUUUUGUGAUAACGAUAAUUAAGUAAACGUAAUUACAACGUGAAAGCAUGUUGACUUACCAGAUAGAUCAAAAUAUGCUCCAGUCUUUAAAAGCAGUCUCGUGUCGAAAAACUACAUUCACUACGAUAAAAAAUAGUCACAGCACAUUGAAAUCGUUGUUUGAUACAAUUAACAUCAUCUCAAACCAUUUAAACACAUCACAAGUUUACAAUCCACCAUACUCUUCGUGAGAAACGAAUGAAAGAUGUCUCUACUUUCAUCCUUUAAAAUGCAACUUUCGUUGCCAGUUUUAUUUCAACGACGUCUUUGAAAGUAAUGCAAUAAAUGGAAAUAAUAGAAAAUUGCACUUGGAAAACACCUCUACGCGUAUGUUGCACACCACUCUGUAUAUUUUAUUAUUUUUGCGAACGUUUCGCCAUCUAGGGGAAUCAGCCGAAACAGAGAAC